This 556-nucleotide ribosomal RNA is filed under the name Eulonchus marginatus. Its description in RNAcentral is "partial 16S ribosomal RNA". The stretch from base 411 to 556 matches the Rfam family "Archaeal large subunit ribosomal RNA", at positions 2544 to 2689 of the family's 2987-position model. Lineage: Eukaryota; Metazoa; Arthropoda; Insecta; Diptera; Acroceridae. The record is from RNAcentral.
UCGCUUGUUUUUACAAAAACAUGGCUUAAUGAUUUUAAUGAAUAUUAAGUCAGACCUGCCCAAUGAYUAUAAUYUAAUGGCUGCAGUAAUYUAWCUGUACAMAGGUAGCAUAAUAAUUAKUUUUUUAAUUGAGGACUUGUAUGAAAGGUUUUACGAAAUAUUAACUUUAUUAUMMUAAUCAAUAUAAUUUUAUUUUUUAGUAAAAAAGCUGAAAUUUUUAUAUAAGACGAGAAGACCCUAUAGAUUUUUAUAAUUUACAGUAAUAAAUAUAAUAAGUAUUUAMYUUAUUUAUUUAGUUGAUUUAUUUUAUUGGGGUGAUGGUAAAAUUAGUUUAAUUUUUAUAUAAYUUUUACMUUUAUUUAUGAAUAAUUGAUCCAUUAUUAAUGAUUAUUASAUUUAAUUACCUUAGGGAUAACAGCAUAAUUUGCUUGGAAAGUUCUUAUUGAUAASCGAGAUUAUGACCUCGAUGUUGGAUUAAGAUUUAUUUUAGGGGUAGAAAUUUAAAAAUUAAGUCUGCUCGACUUAUAACAUCUUACAUGAUCUGACCUCCAAACCG